RNAcentral lists this unclassified non-coding RNA (265 nucleotides) under plant metagenome. RNAcentral's name for it is "partial contains small subunit ribosomal RNA, internal transcribed spacer 1, and 5.8S ribosomal RNA". The stretch from base 1 to 53 matches the Rfam family "Eukaryotic small subunit ribosomal RNA", at positions 1778 to 1831 of the family's 1831-position model. The record is from RNAcentral.
GGAAGUAAAAUCGUAACAAGGUCUCCGUUGGUGAACCAGCGGAGGGAUCAUUACCGAGUUUACAACUCCCAAACCCAAUGUGAACCAUACCAAACUGUUGCCUCGGCGGGGUCACGCCCCGGGUGCGUCGCAGCCCCGGAACCAGGCGCCCGCCGGAGGGACCAACCAAACUCUUUCUGUGGUCCCCUCGCGGACGUUAUUUUUACAGCUCUGAGCAAAAAUUCAAAAUGAAUCAAAACUUUCAACAACGGAUCUCUUGGUUCUG